RNAcentral lists this small RNA (125 nucleotides) under Marmota monax (woodchuck). Lineage: Eukaryota; Metazoa; Chordata; Mammalia; Rodentia; Sciuridae. The record is from RNAcentral.
GCUGGGCGCAGUGGUGCACGCCUGUAAUCCCAGUAGCUUGGGAGGCUGAGGCAGGAGGAUCUCGAGUUCAAAAUCAGCCUCAGCAACAGCAAGGUGCUAAGCAACUCAAUGAGACUCUGUCUCUA